This 903-nucleotide ribosomal RNA is filed under the name uncultured archaeon. RNAcentral's name for it is "bacterial SSU rRNA". It matches the Rfam family "Archaeal small subunit ribosomal RNA", at positions 1 to 922 of the family's 1478-position model. The record is from RNAcentral.
UUCCGGUUGAUCCUGCCGGAGGCGACCGCUUUUGGAGUUCGAUUAAGCCAUGCGAGUCGAGAGCCUUAGGGGCUCGGCAUACUGCUCAGUAACACGUGGAUAACCUGCCCUAUUGUCUGGAAUAACCUCGGGAAACUGAGAACAAGGCCGGAUAACCCACAAUGCCUGGAACGGUUUGUGGGUGAAGAUAGGAUGGGUCUGCGGCGUAUCAGGUCGUAGGGGGUGUAAUGGACCUCCUAGCCAUCGACGCGUACGGGUGUUGGGAGACAUAGCCCGGAGAUGGAUUCUGAGACACGAAUCCAGACCCUACGGGGUGCAGCAGGCGCGAAAACUUCACACUGCAGGAAACUGUGAUGAGGGAACUCCAAGUGCAUGCACUAUGUGUAUGCUUUUCUUAACUAUUAAUCGGUUUUGGAAUAAGGGCUGGGAAAGACCGGUGCCAGCCGCCGCGGUAGUACCGGCAGCUCAAGUGGUCGUCGCUUUUAUUGGGCCUAAAACGUCCGUAGCCUGUUUGGUAAAUCUGUGGGUAAAUCAACCAGCUUAACUGGUUGAAUUCUGCAGAGACUGCCAGACUAGGGACCGGGAGAGGUGUGGGGUACUCUAGGGGUAGGGGUAAAAUCCUGUCAUCCUUAGAGGACCACCAGUUGCGAAGGCGCCACACUGGAACGGAUCCGACGGUCAGGGACGAAGCCUAGGGGCACGAACCGGAUUAGAUACCCGGGUAGUCCUAGGUGUAAACGCUGUGAACUUGGUGUCGGGGAUCCGUAAUGGGUUCUCGGUGCCGGAGUGGAGAUGUUAAGUUCACUGCUUGGGGAGUACGGUCGCAAGGCUGAAACUUAAAGGAAUUGGCGGGGGAGCACUGCAACGGGAGGAGCGUGCGGUUUAAUUGGAUUCAACGCCGGA